AUACAUGCCAUAUUGAACAGUCUA
Molecule: non-coding RNA, 24 nt
Filed under: Arabidopsis thaliana (thale cress)
Lineage: Eukaryota; Viridiplantae; Streptophyta; Magnoliopsida; Brassicales; Brassicaceae
Source: RNAcentral